RNAcentral lists this transfer RNA (67 nucleotides) under Panulirus homarus (Indian spiny lobster). RNAcentral describes it as "tRNA-Pro". The record is from RNAcentral. Lineage: Eukaryota; Metazoa; Arthropoda; Malacostraca; Decapoda; Palinuridae.
CCGGAAAUAGUUUAAUUAAAAUAGUAAUUUUGGGGAUUAAGAAUAGGGUUUAGUACCUUUUUCCUGA